This 294-nucleotide unclassified non-coding RNA is filed under the name uncultured fungus. RNAcentral's name for it is "sequence contains ITS1". Lineage: Eukaryota; Fungi. The record is from RNAcentral.
AGGACUACUAGGGUUUCUAAUCCUGUUCGCUACCCACGCUUUCGCUCCUCAGCGUCAGUUCCGGCCCAGAGUGCCGCCUUCGCCACUGGUGUUCCUCCCGAUAUCUGCGCAUUUCACCGCUACACCGGGAAUUCCACACUCCCCUACCGGACUCAAGUCACAGCAGUAUCGGGUGGCGUCUCUGAGUUGAGCCCAGAGUUUUCACACCCGACUUACCGAACCGCCUACGAGCUCUUUACGCCCAAUAAAUCCGGACAACGCUUGCCCCCUACGUGUUACCGCGGCGGCUGGCAC